CGUCGGACCAGGCUUCAUUCC
Molecule: microRNA, 21 nt
Filed under: Prunus persica (peach)
Lineage: Eukaryota; Viridiplantae; Streptophyta; Magnoliopsida; Rosales; Rosaceae
Also listed under: 1 other name
Description: microRNA miRNA_342
Source: RNAcentral